This is a long non-coding RNA of Nicotiana tabacum (common tobacco), 382 nucleotides long. RefSeq lists it as uncharacterized. The record is from RefSeq and is a predicted model, not a curated record. NCBI's taxonomy places the organism in Eukaryota, Viridiplantae, Streptophyta, Magnoliopsida, Solanales, Solanaceae.
GGCGUUGUGACAGAGUCGACGACUAUCGGGCCUGAUAUAGCUAUUGACUGUAUAAAAUUUUGUAGAAGCAGUCCAAGUAAUCAGAUUCGAGCGGAUUAGAGCAAGAUUCUAAAGGAAAAGCUGUAAUUGAGCAGUGAGUGGCCUGGGAAUUUGAGAUCCAGGUACUGGCCAAUAGUAGAGGUUGUUAGAGCAACUAUCCAUUCCUUCGGAGACACGAGGUAUAUCUGCCGGCGUCCGCGGAUCUCAAGAGUCUUCUCUAUAUUAUUUAGACUACUGUUUUAUUUGAUUCAAAACAGUUAUACAUUAUUUCUUCCAGCCCAUUAUUUGUAGUAUUCUUUAGUAGUUCGUGAGUUGUAACACCAGACCCUGGGGUAGUUUUAAG